RNAcentral lists this ribosomal RNA (439 nucleotides) under uncultured bacterium. RNAcentral's name for it is "partial 16S ribosomal RNA". It matches the Rfam family "Bacterial small subunit ribosomal RNA", at positions 339 to 795 of the family's 1533-position model. The record is from RNAcentral.
CUACGGGGGGCAGCAGUGGGGAAUAUUGCACAAUGGGGGAAACCCUGAUGCAGCAACGCCGCGUGGAGGAUGACACAUUUCGGUGCGUAAACUCCUUUUAUAUGAGAAGAAAAUGACGGUAUCAUAUGAAUAAGCGCCGGCUAACUCCGUGCCAGCAGCCGCGGUAAUACGGAGGGCGCAAGCGUUACUCGGAAUCACUGGGCGUAAAGAGCGUGUAGGCGGGUAGUUAAGUUGGAAGUGAAAUCCUAUGGCUCAACCAUAGAACUGCUUCCAAAACUGAUUACCUAGAAUAUGGGAGAGGUAGAUGGAAUUUCUGGUGUAGGGGUAAAAUCCGUAGAGAUCAGAAGGAAUACCGAUUGCGAAGGCGAUCUACUGGAACAUUAUUGACGCUGAGACGCGAAAGCGUGGGGAGCAAACAGGAUUAGAUACCCUCGUAGUC